RNAcentral lists this long non-coding RNA (271 nucleotides) under Hordeum vulgare. RNAcentral describes it as "long non-coding RNA (HVUL_LNC011782)". Lineage: Eukaryota; Viridiplantae; Streptophyta; Magnoliopsida; Poales; Poaceae. The record is from RNAcentral.
UUAGAUUACUGUAUUCUCACUUUUCCAUGGCUAGUACCCCCCAGACCAGUCUGUAGCAAUCUGUAUACUUCGUAUACUUCUGUUAUCUCAAAGAUUCUGAAAAAUUACGACAGUUUGGGCAAUUGGCAAAUCAACCAGCAUCAAAAGGAAUCAACUCAAAAUCUCUUUCUGGAUAAAAAUGAAAAAUAAUUUCGUGAGCGAAAAGUUUCUCUCUUUUUCCAGCAGGAUCAAACAACCAUCACCAAACUAGUCAUAAAGGUUUUACUUGGCU